GCUCUGUUGUUAGGGAAGAACAAGUGCGAGAGUACUGCUCGCACCUUGACGGUACCUAACCAGAAAGCCACGGCUAAUUACGUGCCAGCAGCCGCGGUAAUACGUAGGUGGCCAGCGUUGUCCGGAAUUAUUGGGCGUAAAGGGCUCGCAGGCGGUUUCUUAAGUCUGAUGUGAAAGCCCCCGGCUCAACCGGGGAGGGUCAUUGGAAACUGGGAAACUUGAGUGCAGAAGAGGAGAGUGGAAUUCCACGUGUAGCGGUGAAAUGCGUAGAGAUGUGGAGGAACACCAGUGGCGAAGGCGACUCUCUGGUCUGUAACUGACGCUGAGGAGCGAAAGCGUGGGGAGCGAACAGGAUUAGAUACCCUGGUAGUCCACGCCGUAAACGAUGAGUGCUAAGUGUUAGGGGGUUUCCGCCCCUUAGUGCUGCAGCUAACGCAUUAAGCACUCCGCCUGGGGAGUACGGUCGCAAGACUGAAACUCAAAGGAAUUGACGGGGGCCCGCACAAGCGGUGGAGCAUGUGGUUUAAUUCGAAGCAACGCGAAGAACCUUACCAGGUCUUGACAUCCUCUGACAACCCUAGAGAUAGGGCUUUCCCUUCGGGGACAGAGUGACAGGUGGUGCAUGGUUGUCGUCAGCUCGUGUCGUGAGAUGUUGGGUUAAGUCCCGCAACGAGCGCAACCCUUGAUCUUAGUUGCCAGCAUUCAGUUGGGCACUCUAAGGUGACUGCCGGUGACAAACCGGAGGAAGGUGGGGAUGACGUCAAAUCAUCAUGCCCCUUAUGACCUGGGCUACACACGUGCUACAAUGGACAGAACAAAGGGCUGCAAGACCGCAAGGUUUAGCCAAUCCCAUAAAUCUGUUCUCAGUUCGGAUCGCAGUCUGCAACUCGACUGCGUGAAGCUGGAAUCGCUAGUAAUCGCGGAUCAGCAUGCCGCGGUGAAUACGUUCCCGGGCCUUGUACACACCGCCCGUCACACCACGAGAGUUUGCAACACCCGAAGUCGGUGAGGUAACCUUUAGGGGCCCACCCU
This 1032-nucleotide ribosomal RNA is filed under the name Bacillus pumilus. RNAcentral's name for it is "bacterial SSU rRNA". It matches the Rfam family "Bacterial small subunit ribosomal RNA", at positions 430 to 1456 of the family's 1533-position model. Lineage: Bacteria; Bacillati; Bacillota; Bacilli; Caryophanales; Bacillaceae. The record is from RNAcentral.